Molecule: unclassified non-coding RNA, 246 nt
Filed under: fungal sp.
Lineage: Eukaryota; Fungi
Description: partial internal transcribed spacer region
Rfam family: Eukaryotic small subunit ribosomal RNA (bases 1-46)
Source: RNAcentral
AAGUCGUAACAAGGUCUCCGUUGGUGAACCAGCGGAGGGAUCAUUAAAGAGUUCUAAACAAACUCCCACAAACCAUCGCGAACCUUUUCCGUCAGCGUUGCUUCGGCGGGGGCCCUGGGGCCGCAGCCUCCCCUCACCCGGGGGGGGCGCCCGCCGGAGAUACGAAACUCUCCUGUAUCCACAGCGGCAUCUCUGAGUAUAGAAGCAAAUAAGUCAAAACUUUCAACAACGGAUCUCUUGGUUCUG